ACGGAAGGCAGCAGUGAGGAAUAUUGGUCAAUGGGCGGAAGCCUGAACCAGCCAUCUCGCGUGCAGGACUACGGCCCUACGGGUCUUAAACUGCUUUUAUGGGGGGAUAAAGUCGGGCAUGCGUGUCCGUUUGCAGGUACCCCAUGAAUAAGGAUCGGCUAACUCCGUGCCAGCAGCCGCGGUAAUACGGAGGAUCCGAGCGUUAUCCGGAUUUAUUGGGUUUAAAGGGUGCGCAGGCGGCCCGUUAAGUCAGCGGUGAAAUGUCGGGGCUCAACCCGGGCACUGCCGUUGAAACUGGGGGGCUUGAGUACGGAUGAGGUUUGCGGAAUUCGUUGUGUAGCGGUGAAAUGCAUAGAUAUGACGAAGAACACCGAUUGCGUAGGCAGCAGACCAGGCCGUAAAUGACGCUCAUGCACGAAAGUGCGGGGAUCGAACAGGAUUAGAUACCCUGGUA
Molecule: ribosomal RNA, 454 nt
Filed under: uncultured Parabacteroides sp.
Lineage: Bacteria; Pseudomonadati; Bacteroidota; Bacteroidia; Bacteroidales; Tannerellaceae
Description: partial 16S ribosomal RNA
Rfam family: Bacterial small subunit ribosomal RNA
Source: RNAcentral